GGGGCGUAUUCGGGAUUACUGGGGCGUAAAGCGUGCGCAGGCGGUUACUUAAGUCAGGUGUGAAAGCCCUGGGCUUAACCUAGGAAUUGCGCUUGAGACUGGGUAGCUUUUGAGUGCGGCAGAGGGAGGUGGAAUUCCACGUGUAGCAGUGAAAUGCGUAGAGAUGUGGAGGAACACCGAUGGCGAAGGCAGCCUCCUGGGCCAGCACUGACGCUCAUGCACGAAAGCGUGGGGAGCAAACAGGAUUAGAUACCCUGGUAGUCCACGCCCUAAACGAUGUCAACUGGUUGUUGGUGGGGUUAAACCCAUUAGUAACGAAGCUAACGCGUGAAGUUGACCGCCUGGGGAGUACGGCCGCAAGGUUAAAACUCAAAGGAAUUGACGGGGACCCGCACAAGCGGUGGAUGAUGUGGAUCAAUUCGAUGCAACGCGAAGAACCUUACCUACCCUUGACAUGUGAGGAAGCCCGCUGAGAGGCGGGUGUGCCCGAAAGGGAGCCUCAACACAGGUGCUGCAUGGCUGUCGUCAGCUCGUGUCGUGAGAUGUUGGGUUAAGUCCCGCAACGAGCGCAACCCUUGUCACUAGUUGCUACGCAAGGGCACUCUAGUGAGACUGCCGGUGACAAACCGGAGGAAGGUGGGGAUGACGUCAAGUCCUCAUGGCCCUUAUGGGUAGGGCUUCACACGUCAUACAAUGGCGCAUACAAAGGGCUGCCAACCCGCGAGGGGGAGCCAAUCCCAGAAAGUGCGUCGUAGUCCGGAUUGCAGUCUGCAACUCGACUGCAUGAAGUCGGAAUCGCUAGUAAUCGCGGAUCAGCAAUGUCGCGGUGAAUACGUUCCCGGGUCUUGUACACACCGCCCGUCACACCAUGGGAGUGGGUUCCACCAGAAGCCGGUUGCCUAACCGCAAGGGGGGCGCCGACCACGGUGAGAUUCAUGACUGGGGUGAAGUCGUAACAAGGGUAACC
RNAcentral lists this ribosomal RNA (967 nucleotides) under uncultured bacterium. Its description in RNAcentral is "bacterial SSU rRNA". It matches the Rfam family "Bacterial small subunit ribosomal RNA", at positions 535 to 1501 of the family's 1533-position model. The record is from RNAcentral.